Molecule: long non-coding RNA, 4330 nt
Organism: Hemicordylus capensis (graceful crag lizard)
Lineage: Eukaryota; Metazoa; Chordata; Lepidosauria; Squamata; Cordylidae
Exons: 7
Source: RefSeq, a predicted model, not a curated record
GAGAGAGAGAGAGAGCGAGCGCACUUUUCUGAGAGCACUUUUCUGUUAAAAUGUUUGCUCACAAAAAGUCAAUUUAAUUUUCAAGAUGAAGCAAGUGUCACAGAUGAUUGAUAGAGAGGCGUCCCUGCACACAAGCAGGGAAACCCCGAUUAGAAUCCUGGGGUGAGGAUUGGCGGAUGGUGGCAGUUAGAGAGCGAGAAAUGGCAGUCGGAGGCUUGAGGGAAAGAAAGGAUAAAGCUGGGGUGGGGGAGGAAGAAAUCAGUGGGGUGUUUUGAGGAGAAGUUGGAUGAAAGAAGGAAGGAAAGGGGCAGGAAAGGAAUAGAAAACCGAACCUUUAGAUGAGAUUGCCAGAGACUGUUGCCUUUCUGAAUGUACAGAGUCCUGGAUCAAAUGAACUGAUCCCAAGAGAAGGAGACUGAUGGCUGGGCAGUGCCAGUCUCCUGGUGAGGACUCACUGAAGGACCAAGGCACAAGGCAAGGUCACAAGCCAAGAAAGUCAGGUCUACAAGGGAGUAAGCACAAGUCAAGAGAAGCUAAAGUCAAGAGUCAGGCAGUCAGCUCUAUGCAGGAGCAAGAUGUGGGGAAAUUGAGCGCAAGAGGUGGCUGCUUGCACAAAUCCAUCUAGUUAGUUUGUGGCAAAGGGCAAUGUUGAGCCUUCUCUCUUCCCAGUGUGACUUUCUCAUGAGAUCCAAAUAACUCGGCUGUCCAGCCUCAGAACGAGAAUGGCAGAGUAACAAGAUAUGGAAGUCGGCAACUGUGGCCCACACUCUAAACAUAGAGCAAAACUAAUUGCCACAUGAUGACUGGUGACUCAGCCUGCCAGGAAGAGAUGGUAAAUUUCACUACUGGUUAAGGAGAAGCAGCCCUGGAAGAUGUCCUUUCUGUGUCGCUACACGUCUAGGGAAAGAGAGAUGAAGCACGGACUGUGUGGACUCCCACAGGAAUCGGGAAAGGAACUCAGCAGUGAUGCCGUACAUCUUGAGCAACUCAGGUGGUGACGGAAACAUCGCGGCUCCCAUUGUUUUAUCCAGACACGGUUGUUAGGUUGCCCUGACCAAAGAUGGAGCAUUGGCCGGGGGGGGGGAUGAAUUACCACAUAAACAGGGUGUCUGUUGCCGCGUCCAGGGUGCAAAUGUUUGCCUUGUGGAGUCUCCCACCACCACUCAGCGUGAGGACCCUGUCUGGGCAACUUUCUCUUUGUCGGACAGCUGCACUUCACGGACAGAUCCCACUCUAGGCAACAGACACCCUAAUUGACUCAUGAAAAACAGGGAAUGGGAGUGGCGGGGAGAGGGAGACAGGAGGCGCCUUGGCCAAAAUAAUAAACGUGUUGCCAUAGGAACAGCAAGUUCCCAGCUCUGCACCGCAAAGACAGAGCCACAGUGACAUUUGCAGGCCAAGCAUAGCAUCGCAGCAUCUCCAGAGGGGAUUUCUGUUUGGUUAUCUGUUGCUGGCUGCUCAUAAUGCAUAAGCACAAAGUUUCUGCAAACUCCUGUUGGAGGAGGCGGAAUCUGGGGGUGUUGGGAAGGACCCAGAGCAUGGCCUAAGAAGGCACACAAUUCAGCCAUUUUGCAGAGACCCAUAUAUGCCAUGUUGGCUUGGCUUGGUGUGGCCAACUGCAAGACACCUCCCCUGACCCUCCUUGCUGCUCCCAGUGCUAGAUCCUUAAUGGCCCUGGUCCUUUUCUCUCCUCCUUUCCUGCACCAUAACAGAGCUCUGGCCAAGCAGCAGCACUCCUUAUGCUGACAAGGAGCUAAUGGGUAAACAGUGUAACGGGAUUAUCCUCCCGCUCUCCCUGCUUCUCCCACACCAUGGGCUGCAGAGCAGGAAGAAGCGGCUUUGUAGCAGUAGUGGAGUCAGCCCAACGGCGGCCUGUGUUCUGCCCCACCAGUGACGCCCCAUGCGCACAACGUCACAUGCACGGGGGCAUGGCUCAGGCCGCGGAUCGCUCCUGGAGAGCUCUCGCCCUCUCAUUUCCAGGCAGCGUUUGCUGCCUGGCUGCCCUUUCUGCCAGACAGCAAAUCUUGCCUGGAAAUGAGAGGGGGGUGACUGGGGGCCUUUGGGGCAAUCGGGCCAUGCCCCUUUUGCAUGUGAUGUCACGCGCAACAGCCCUUUUCAUUGGCGGCCACGGCUGCACACCUGGUUCCUGAUGAUGGACCUCAGGAUUAGGAACAUAGGAAGCUGCCUUCUACUGAGUCAGACCUUCGUUGCCUCCAGCUCCAGACUGUCUAUACUGACUGGCAGCAGCUUUCCAGGGUUUCAGGCAGGAGUCGUUCCCAGUCCUACCUGGAGAUCCUGCCAGGGAUUGGUCUGGGUGCAGUUACUUGGUAGGACAGCACCAUCCUGCCCAGUGCAAGGUCCCCACAUGAUCACUUCCCCCAUCUCCUGCCUAGAUUUGUACUCACACACAGUCAAAAAUCAGGAGCACCCGAAGCUCUCAGUUUAUGGUCAUGAGAACAAGUCGACUUGUUCUCUCUCUUGUCAGGAAAGAGUAAUGAGCUCUGGCCAUGGACAAUGCCUCCUAUUGAGGAGCCAUCUGCACAAUUGGUUAAAGGAGUUUUAAUGUAACAUACUGAGAAGUGGCCAGCUCUCCUUUUAAAUAAAAUGUUACUGUAUGGGCCUCCAUCCAGGUUAGGUCAGGACCAUGGUGCACUGAGUGGUAACUUCUUAUUUAUAGUAUUAUUGUUGCUGCUGCUGCUGUUGUCAGUUAACUUAUUAUUUAUUUAUUUAUUUAUUACCCCUUGUGCAAUUUUCUCACCUCAACUCACGUCUUGGAAGCUGCUGUGCCUUGCAAAGUACUUGUGUAGGUAUGAAUUUUACAGCCGACAGACACAUAGCCUUCAACAUUCCUAGAGCCAAGUGAAUCUGGUGUGAAAUAGCAAGCAAAAAAUGCUUUUUAAUUUUUUUUUUCACUAGAGGGCUCUCUUCAGCAGAAGGAUUUCCUUUCUUUAUGUAGUAGUAAACGGGAAACUCUUGAAGAAAACGUUUUCAGUAGUACAUCCAGAAAUCCAGUGAAGAUUGCCAGUUGUCCAGAAAAAUAUCCAGCCUGGCUGCUUCUUUUGAGUUUGGGCAAAUUGCUAGUAAAGCAAAGUACAAGGCCAUUUUUCAUAAGGUCAUACUUCGAAAUUUAAUAGCAACAGGGCUUUGCCAGGAUUUACCACAAUCACCCUGGUUUUGCAAUCUGGUAAUGAAAGAUUUUGGUUACUCUGUCAUAAAACUGUAGUAUAUACUGGGGUAAGCUUUUCCCAUCAGAAAAGUUUACCCCAGUAUAGAAAUCUGAUGGGAUAAGGCAAAAUCUCAGCCUGGUCCAUUGUAAAACUACCCACCAGGAAAGCUUACCCCACUGCAAGGUGAAAUUUUGGUCUAGUCUGUCAUAAAAUUGUACUCAUCAGAAAAGCUUACCCAGAAUGGAAAUCUGACGGGGUAGGAAAAAUUCUCGGUUUAGCCCAUCAUAAAAGUGUACAUAUCAGAAAAACCCGCACAGUGUGGAAACUUGAUGAGGUAAAGAAAAAUCUCAAUCUAGUCUGUCAGAAAACAGUACCCAUCAGAAAAGCUUACCUCAGUAUGGAAACCAGGAGGCUGCCAAUAAGUCAUCCAAGCACCUAUUGCCAUCACCGUCGCUAAGGGAAUCUUCUCCCAAACUCUUGUGCUGCUGACCUUAGUGGCAGAGGUGGUCCAGUACACUCUUCUACAGCUGUGCUGUUCACAGCCACCAUCUUUUUUGGCAAUAAUGCACUGCACUUAUCCCUGCCAUAGAGACACGCACAUUGCAUUACUGGUAAAUAAAGAUGGUGGGCUCCAGAACAGCUGCUCCACCACACCAUUAAAGGGGGACUCAAAAUGGUACUUAUCUGAGAGCCUGUCUUUCCCCCAUGCCAUAAUCUCUCCCACUGACUAUUUAAGCCCUUUUUCUGCUUUUGUAAAUAAGGAGGGAAGAAAAUGGUAGCAACGGCGGCGGCAGCCAGGCCAGGGGCCCGGCAGGGGGGAAAGAUGGUGACAGUCGGGCAGCGGGCAGGCGGGCAGAGAAAACAGUGGGAGCACGCAGAAGAAAGCAGCAGAGGCCAGGUGGGAAGAAAACAACAGCAGCGGCAGGGGACGGGCAGGGGAAACGGCACGGAUGGGGGAAACAUUGGUGGCUGGGUGGGGGGAGUGGCGGCGAACUAGAGGCGCAGAUGCUCUGUACCCGGCCCAGCUAGUUGUUAUUAUAUUCCUAAUUUAUGUAUUAAUUAAUUAUAUUAAUUAUUAAUUAAUAUAAAUAAGAGAUUAAUAAGCAUUAUUAAUAAAUGUAAAUAAUUUGUUCAAACUGGUUUAUAAAUAUUGUUUAACAGUA